Molecule: transfer RNA, 84 nt
Filed under: Lethe albolineata
Lineage: Eukaryota; Metazoa; Arthropoda; Insecta; Lepidoptera; Nymphalidae
Description: tRNA-Ile
Source: RNAcentral
AAAUAAAUAAUUUAUUUAUAUUAAAUAUUUAAUUAAUUAUUUAAUUAUAUAUAUAUAUUAAAUAUUAAAUUUAUUAUAUAUUUA